AUGAGGCGCGGUCAUUCGUCCCCGCCCCUCAAACCCUUGGCCGCCGUCACAAACCCUGAAACCCUUGUCCGCCGCCACAAGCGCUCAUACCAUUGUGAAUCAUCUCAUUGCAAGGAACUCAGUUUUCGUGCGUGGGCGGCCCUCGGCGAUGGUGUCAUCAGCAACAGCAUCUGGAGCCCCAAAUGCUUGCAGGUGGUGAAUCAUCCCAUUGAUGGUUUAAGUAUAUCCAUCAAGUGGCAACAGGCAUCGGGGACGGUGUCAUCAUCAGGAGCAUCUGGCAAGCGCAUCGAGUUUGCAUCUCACAACUUCAGUGGAUCUCCAUUUUCCACCCUCGAAACAGCAUCACAUGCAAAAAGUGACACAAACAUAAGAAGCAGGCCGGUUGAUCAUCAACCAGAAGAGGACGAUUCUACAGUCCUUACAAGAUCUACAGUAGUUGAAGAUAACAAUGCAAGCAUCUUAACCAUAGCUCAAAGUGGUGUGGACAAUUCAGCUACGGUUACAGAUGGAGAGCAUCAAGAGGAUUCAUUCACAGCUCCGAAUACCAAUGAUUUGGAUUUUAGUUUAAAUGAAUAUGGUGAUAUCACGAAUGUUCGUCAACCUAAACUUGUGAUCUCGGGUACAUCAGAUGACUUGAAUGUCAUAAAAGAUAAUGCUGCACUAACGGAAGAAGAUCGCAAAAGAGCCCAUAGAAACGCCCUGAGGAGAGCUUCUUAUCGUAGGAAAAAAGAACUUGCUCUCGAAGAAGAUAAACUCCACGCCAUUAAUUUGUCUGACAACGCAACUAGCUCUGCCUAUACAACAUUAUUAUCGCAUCCUGAUUCAGCAAUUACUGCUACAUCUACUGAGACAUAUGGUCUGGUUAACGACAAUGAUCAAAAUGACAUUGACGAGAAUAUACUUGAAGAAACAUGUGUGGUAACCGAGGAAGAUCGCAAGAGAGAUCAUGUAAAUGCACUUAGGAGGGCAGCUUAUCGUAGGAGAAAGGAUAAGUUUGAAGCAAGUGAAAAUCUACGGAUGCUAUCUAAUUCAGGAUCCGACAAUGACGCAUUCGAGGAUGACGAGGAAGCUAGCAUGACGUCUUUUAUAUCUGGCAAGGUUGAUCCAUUAGAUUGUGUGUACACAAACAUACCAGACAACACCCACAUCCUGAAGCUCGACACAAACUGCAAACACUGCAAGGCCAGAAAAUUCAGAUAUUUUCGUGAGAACAUACGGUUAUUCAAUGGGCAUUUCGCCUUCACAACCCUUGGCGUCAGCUUUGAUGAGAACUACACAAACAUGAAGUCUGGGGUAUACACAUUCCGGGUACACGGAACCAUCUAUCACAAUGUGCAUUCGUUCGGGCCUAGCUCACGUCCAGAACAUCUGCAGUUGUACUUCUAUGAUGACGACCCAACCAUAACCCAUCGUAAGGCGGCCACAAAGCAAUUAGAUCAAGAGGCCGUGAAGAAGUUAGUAGACAUACUUAAAGAGAACCCUUACUCCCAGCAAUUUAGGAGUUUGGGUGCACACAAGGACAACCUUGAUGAUUAUAGGAUAGACCUAAACACUGAUAAGAGGCUUGACCAAAGAAAAUAUAAUAGACCUUUGUCAUCUGAGGUUGCUGCAAUUUGGGUUGAGGGCAGUGACCUGGCAAAAAGGGGCGAACUAGGUUGGCAUCCGAAACUACCUAAACGUAAUGUUCCUUGGGAGGCUGUACAACAUCCUCAACUUGUCCAUGAUGAUGAUGAGGAUGCAGAGGGAAAUAGCAGGUUGUGCGUCUCCGUCAGAGACUACUACUGUUAUAUGCUGCAGACACGGCCUGCAAUCUUCAAUCCCAUACUCUGCGGAGCACGACUGCUACAGCAAUGGGCUGUUGACAUGUACGUUAAGAUUGAGAGUUGUCGGUUGAGGUGGUACAGGAAGAACCAGACGCAGAUUCGUGCUGACUUGUAUAAAGGAGUGGUUGAUGCCAUCACUUCAGGGGAGACGCGGGCAAGCGCUGUUGGGGUUAGAAUAGUGCUCCCUGGAACAUACCCUGGUGGCGACCGCGACAUGAAGAAGAGACAUAUGGAUGCCAUGGCAAUUGUCCAUACAUACGGGAAGCCAGACAUCUUCCUCACCAUGACUUGCAAUCCUAAAUGGGACGAGAUAACAAACGAGUUGUUGCCUGGUCAGACGGUGCAAGACCGACCUGAUAUUGUGGCUCGUGUGUUCUAUGGCAAACUAGAGCACAUGAAGUACAUGUUGUUCAAGAAGCAUAUCCUGGGUGUUGUAGUUGCUUACGUAUACGUAGUCGAGUUCCAAAAAGGGGGCCUCCCCCACGCACAUUUUUUGUUGAUCAUGGACUCAACAUAUAAGCUUAUCGUCCCGGAACAGUAUGACCGACUCAUUUCCGCGAAGCUCCCAGACAAGCACAAGUAUCCGGAAUUGUAUUCAAUGGUGGUAAAGCAUAUGAUGCACGGACCAUGUGGUGCUCUCAACCUGAAGAAUGUUUGCAUGCAAGAAAACGGUUGCAAGUGCAGAUAUCCAUGGUCGUUCAAUGAGAACACAACACAGGGGAAGGACUCAUACCCAGUGUAUCGACGGAGAGACGAUGGAAGACGUGCUAAGGUCAGAGGGAAGAUGCUGGACAACAGAUGGGUCGUGCCUUAUAACCCAUACCUACUGCGGAUGUUCAAUUGCCACAUCAACGAGCUCUGCUCUAGCAUAAAGGCUGUGAAAUAUCUUUACAAGUACAUUUACAAGGGCCAUGAUAAGGCUUCUUUCAGCAUCGAUCAGCCCGACGCCGAUGGUAACAUUGAUGAGAUCAAGAGGCAUAUAUUGUACAAGGAUUUUCCUGGAAGCUUUACGUGGCAGAAGAAAAAGAAGUAUUGGAAGCCGCGGGUCGAGCGUUUUCAAAUUGGGCGCAUAAUGUUUGCCAAUCCUGCCGAGGGGGAGCGAUACUACCUGCGGGUGUUGCUUAACCAUGUUAAGGGCAAAACAUCCGUCGAUGACUUGCUCACCGUGGAUGGCGUGCUAUGUGGGAGCUUUAGAGAGGCUGCUGAAAGGUUGGGACUCAUCGAGGCAGACAACACGCUCGACGACUGUCUUAAUGAGGCUGAGCAGUGGGCGAUGCCAUGUUCACUUAGGAGGCUCUUCGCAACCAUCUUGGUGCACUGCGAGCCAGGCGAUGUGCGUGGACUAUGGGAUCGGCACUUUGAGCCUAUGUCAGAUGACUAUCGUCGAUCACGCACGUCCAUUGACGAGGUGGAGCAGAUGGUGUUGCUUGACAUUAGGGGAAUGUUGCAGUCAAUGGGUAAAGACAUUGUUGAUUUCGCUCUUCCAAUCAUAGAUGAUGCGUUUGACCCUAUAGAGGGCGAGGCAAGAGAGGUUAUCGAGGAAUCAACCGUUGAGUUUGACAUGGAUGACACAAAAUUGGCAUCUUCACUCAACAUGGAGCAGAGGGCCGCAUACGAUGAGAUACUAGGGGCUGUUGAACGCGGUGAUGGGGGUGUUUUCUUUGUUGAUGGCCCUGGAGGUACAGGUAAGACCUUCCUAUAUAGGGCGAUGCUUGCCAAGGUGAGAAGCCAGGGCAAGAUAGGUAUCGCUACCGCGACGUCCGGCGUCGCCGCUUCCAUCAUGCCUGGCGGCAGGACUGCCCACUCCAGGUUCAAGAUCCCAUUGAGUUGCGAUGAUGGAGCCUCGUGCAGCUUCACCAAGCAGAGUGGGACCGCCAAGUUGCUAUGGAUGGCCUCCUUGAUCAUAUGGGACGAGGCCAGCAUGACAAAGCGACAAGCGGUUCUUCCGGUCGUCAGAAGGGGGUCGCGGGGCCAAAUAAUUGAUGCAACCCUCCGAAGCUCUCAUCUAUGGAAGGGCAUGCGUCAGCUUCGGCUCAUCACCAACAUGAGGGCUCAUAAUGACACGUGGUUUGCCGAUUACUUGCUAAGGGUCGGCAAUGGCACUGAGGAAGUUGAUGAUCAAGGCAACAUAGUACUCCCUGAAGAUAUUUGUCUGCCGUCUACAGGCGAGGUUGACGACCUGGAGAAGCUUAUUGAGCACGAGUUUCUGAAUGGAUUGACUCCUAACGGUCUUCCUCCGCAUGCUCUAAAACUAAAGCUGAACUGCCAUGUGAUACUUCUAAGGAACAUUGAUCCAGCUAAUGGGCUUUGUAAUGGCACGAGGCUUGUUGUUAGAGGUUUUGAGAGGAACACCAUUGAUGCAGAAAUCGUGAUUGGACAACACGCUGGCAGGAGGGUCUUCCUUCCUCGAAUACCUCUCUGCCCAUCUGAAAGUGAUAUGUUUCCGUUCAAGUUUAAGAGAAAACAAUUUCCUAUAAGGCUUAGCUUUGCUAUGACCAUUAACAAGGCUCAAGGGCAGACCAUCCCGAUUGUUGGUGUCUACCUACCCAAUCCCGUGUUCUCACAUGGUCAGCUCUAUGUUGCUUUGUCUCAAGCCACCGCGAAGAGAAACAUAAAGAUACUCAUUCAGAAGGAGAAGCCGAAGGAGAAGACCAACAAGCAUAAGGACAAUCCAAAAAAGCGUAAAAGAACUAGCGUGUCCUUACUGACCUCGAUGAAGAACAUCGUCUACAAGGAAGUCCUUACAGCAUUGAUGGCGCUGAUGAUCAUCAACAAGAACAAGAAGAUAAGAAGGAGCUGCACCCUGAUGAAGAACCGAACAGAGAUGGGAAUAUUGGGAACAAAGAUGGAAGCGAUUGCAUACAACAGCCAGGCAAUCCGUUUCAACAACGUGCUAGAAACCGGUAGGACCUAUGAUUUCAAUCGCGUCGGGUUUAACCCCACAGAAAUGCCAGAUGGUCAUUUCUGACGGCAGAUAAUUUUCUUACGUGUACGUGAAGAACACGUUGGGCCUAACUUCUGGUGUUUGCAAUGCACUGACAACCUGUUCGAGAAGUUAGCUGUAACUUAUAUACAGUUUCAUUCUCUGGCACGGGCCCUCAGACACUCUUCAAUGGAGCAAGAAACACGCACCGCGGUGCUGAUUGACAAUGCCAUUGUUCGGCCGUUUCCUAAAUAUGAUGUGUUCAACUCUAACAUUUAUCUACUACCAUUUGUUGCCGUGGAUUCUUCGUACGGACUACUUGUAGUCGACAUGGAAUAUAGGAGGGUUCUCCCAAUUGAUCCAUCAAUCGACGUCUAUGUUGGACCAUACAACUUUCAUAACACUGAAACGAGGAAGGAAAUCACAAUGUUGAAACAAGAGUUCAACAAUGUGUUGCAGAUGAGGAUCCAUGGUUGGAAUACGAAUCUCAUGGACUGGUCAACGCACGGCAUCGCUUCAAAUGGCAGGCGCAACGACUCCGCUUUCCUUGUCCUGCAGGAGAUGGCCCACCAGAAUGGUACUACUGAUUCUGGUAGGAAGACAACUCACGAUUCAAUACAGCUCAGAAAGAACCUGCUGGUCCAGAUGCUGACGAUAAAAAACAAUGAAGCAGCUGGAAACAUACCAGAUGAAAUUAAAGCGGCAUUGAGGGUUUUAAACGACUGA
This 5472-nucleotide ribosomal RNA is filed under the name Triticum aestivum (bread wheat). Its description in RNAcentral is "partial small subunit ribosomal RNA". The record is from RNAcentral. Lineage: Eukaryota; Viridiplantae; Streptophyta; Magnoliopsida; Poales; Poaceae.